RNAcentral lists this ribosomal RNA (252 nucleotides) under uncultured bacterium. Its description in RNAcentral is "partial 16S ribosomal RNA". It matches the Rfam family "Bacterial small subunit ribosomal RNA", at positions 524 to 776 of the family's 1533-position model. The record is from RNAcentral.
UACGGAGGAUGCGAGCGUUAUCCGGAUUUAUUGGGUUUAAAGGGUGCGUAGGCGGGAUGCCAAGUCAGCGGUAAAAAUGCGGUGCUCAACGCCGUCGAGCCGUUGAAACUGGCGUUCUUGAGUGGGCGAGAAGUAUGCGGAAUGCGUGGUGUAGCGGUGAAAUGCAUAGAUAUCACGCAGAACUCCGAUUGCGAAGGCAGCAUACCGGCGCCUUACUGACGCUGAGGCACGAAAGCGUGGGUAUCGAACAGG